RNAcentral lists this ribosomal RNA (437 nucleotides) under uncultured bacterium. Its description in RNAcentral is "bacterial SSU rRNA". It matches the Rfam family "Bacterial small subunit ribosomal RNA", at positions 340 to 789 of the family's 1533-position model. The record is from RNAcentral.
UACGGAAGGCAGCAGUGGGGAAUAUUGGACAAUGGGCGAAAGCCUGAUCCAGCCAUGCCGCAUGAGUGAAGAAGGCCUUCGGGUUGUAAAGCUCUUUUAGUGAGAAAGAUAAUGACGGUACUCACAGAAGAAGUCCUGGCUAACUCCGUGCCAGCAGCCGCGGUAAUACGGAGAGGGCUAGCGUUAUUCGGAAUUAUUGGGCGUAAAGAGCGCGUAGGCUGAUUAGUAAGUUAAAAGUGAAAUCCCAAAGCUUAACUUUGGAAUUGCUUUUUAAAACUGCUAGUCUAGAGAUUUGAAAGAGGAUAGAGGAAUUCCUAGUGUAGAGGUGAAAUUCGUAAAUAUUAGGAGGAACACCAGUGGCGAAGGCGUCUAUCUGGUUCAAAUCUGACGCUGAGGCGCGAAGGGCGUGGGGAGCGAAACAGGGAUUAGAUACCCGU